AUUGAACGCUGGCGGCAGGCCUAACACAUGCAAGUCGAGCGAGCGGCGGACGGGUGAGUAAUGUCUGGGGCCUGCCCGAUAGAGGGGGAUAACUACUGGCAACGGUAGCUAAUACCGCAUACUAUCGGAUCACCCAUAUGGGAUUAGCUAGUAGGUGAGGUAAUGGCUCACCUAGGCGACGAUCCCUAGCUGGUCUGAGAGGAUGAUCAGCCACACGGGGACUGAGACACGGACCAGAAAACAACGGAGGCAGAAGGGGGGAAUAUUGCACAAUGGGCGCAAGCCUGAUGCAGCCAUGCCGCGUGUAUGAAGAAGGCCCUAGGGUUGUAAAGUACGUUCAGUCGGGAGGCGUUACCGACAGAAGAAGAACCGGAUAACGCCGUGCCAGCAGCCGCGGUAAUAC
RNAcentral lists this ribosomal RNA (403 nucleotides) under uncultured bacterium. RNAcentral's name for it is "partial 16S ribosomal RNA". It matches the Rfam family "Bacterial small subunit ribosomal RNA", at positions 29 to 526 of the family's 1533-position model. The record is from RNAcentral.